Mobula hypostoma (lesser devil ray) is the source of this 714-nucleotide long non-coding RNA. RefSeq lists it as uncharacterized. The transcript is spliced from 3 exons. The record is from RefSeq and is a predicted model, not a curated record. NCBI's taxonomy places the organism in Eukaryota, Metazoa, Chordata, Chondrichthyes, Myliobatiformes, Myliobatidae.
AUCAUUUUUCUUGUGGACUUUUGUGGAUAUCUCGCUGAUGGGGAAUAAUAGUGGGGAGAAGCAUCCUUUGUAUUUUUAGCACUCCGUGAUAGCAUCAAGUAUCCCAGAUCUCGUAUUGGACCGUACCAUUCCGUUCACGUGAUGUGAUUCUGAAUAAAGUAAAGUAAAGUUGAAGAGAGAAGGGAGAUACCGGCAGGGUUCAUCGCUGAAUGUUGAUCAAACUGGAAUAAUGCUGGAUCAUUUUAACGCCAGCGCGGAAACCUCUGAUACUGCAGCAGGGGAGAGCGCCUGUUCAGCAUUGGCUCCCCAUUAUUAAACAUUCUUCCAUCUGCGGCAGAUCUUUCAGAAACAGACUGCCUCCUGAUGCACCAUAUUUGAAAUUCAGCAGUUUUCCUAAAAAGGGCUUUGAAACUACGUGUGAACCUAACAGCAAGAUCACUUAAAACCAACUACAAAAUAACUGAAGAUACCAGCACUUUGACAAAGCUAGCUUGUGAGACAAUGGAGGUUCAUGUUUGCUGACCAUAUCAUCUUAUCAUGAACAGUUCUUGAUCUCUUAACAUUAUCUAUGUUGAUUCAUUAACAUUAAAUAUAAACUUACACUAUGUUAAUGGAGACACAUUUUUGAAAUUAGAAUUUCAUGAUAAAUCCCAAGCUCAUGUUUAUGCUUCAUGAAGAAUCGGUGAAAUAGAUAUUUUGAGCUUUAAUUUCAAA